This 564-nucleotide ribosomal RNA is filed under the name uncultured Glomeromycotina. RNAcentral describes it as "SSU rRNA". It matches the Rfam family "Eukaryotic small subunit ribosomal RNA", at positions 548 to 1114 of the family's 1831-position model. Lineage: Eukaryota; Fungi; Glomeromycota. The record is from RNAcentral.
UUGGAGGGCAAGUCUGGUGCCAGCAGCCGCGGUAAUUCCUGCUCCAAUAACGUAUAUUAAAGUUGUUGCAGUUAAAAAGCUCGUAGUUGAAUUUUGGAUUCGGCCAAUUGGUCCAUCUUUUAGAUGAGUACUGGUUGUGUUGGGUCUAUCCGCCUGGUGAUACGUAAUGUCCUUUAUUGGAUGUUGCGGGUAGUCAGGACCUUUACCUUGAAAAAAUUAGAGUGUUUAAAGCAGGCUUAUGCCGGAAUACAUUAGCAUGGAAUAAUAGAAUAGGACGAAGUUGUUUUAUUUUGUUGGUUUCUAGGACAACCGUAAUGAUUAAUAGGGAUAGUUGGGGGCAUUAGUAUUCAAUUGUCAGAGGUGAAAUUCUUGGAUUUAUUGAAGACUAACUACUGCGAAAGCAUUUGCCAAGGAUGUUUUCAUUAAUCAAGAACGAAGGUUAGGGGAUCGAAGACGAUCAGAUACCGUCGUAGUCUUAACCAUAAACUAUGCCGACUAGGGAUCGGGCGAUGUUGUUUCCAUGACUCGCUCGGCACCUUAUGGGAAACCAAAGUGUUUGGGUUC